This is a long non-coding RNA of Felis catus (domestic cat), 328 nucleotides long. RefSeq lists it as uncharacterized. The transcript has 2 exons. The record is from RefSeq and is a predicted model, not a curated record. NCBI's taxonomy places the organism in Eukaryota, Metazoa, Chordata, Mammalia, Carnivora, Felidae.
CGAGAACCUCCCGGACCCCACUCUGCUCCUGGAGAUUCGCCCUUCCCACCAGAGCAUUGCCAGAGUAUUGCAUAAUUCCGUCCUUCUGAAAGAAUCACAGCCACAUCAAGUCACUGCCUUGUCACCAUUACUGAUGAGGAAACGAGUUGUGUGGGGCAGAAAAAGAAGGUUGCUGCGGUGACAGCUUUUUAAAGACAAACUUUUUUAGAUGCAGUUUGGUACAUUACUCAACAGUCUUAGCUAUUUUUAAUUGUAGCUUAAUUUAACUCUGGUCCUCUUGUCCCCAUGCUUAGAUUGUUGGAGCUAAAUAAAGAGAAGGCCUAAGCUU